This 498-nucleotide ribosomal RNA is filed under the name Pseudomonas sp. 2995-3. RNAcentral's name for it is "bacterial LSU rRNA". It matches the Rfam family "Bacterial large subunit ribosomal RNA", at positions 682 to 1177 of the family's 2925-position model. The record is from RNAcentral. Lineage: Bacteria; Pseudomonadati; Pseudomonadota; Gammaproteobacteria; Pseudomonadales; Pseudomonadaceae.
UCUGAAUAGGGCGCCAUAGUACGUUGUUGUAGACCCGAAACCGUGUGAUCUACCCAUGUCCAGGGUGAAGUCCAGGUAACACUGGAUGGAGGCCCGAACCCACGCACGUUGAAAAGUGCGGGGAUGAGGUGUCGGUAGGGGUGAAAUGCCAAUCGAACACGGAGAUAGCUGGUUCUCCCCGAAAUAGCUUUAGGGCUAGCCUCGAGGGAAGAGUCUUGGAGGUAGAGCACUGAUUGGACUAGGGGUCCCCACAGGAUUACCGAAUUCAGUCAAACUCCGAAUGCCAAUGACUUAUCCUCGGGAGUCAGACUGCGAGUGCUAAGAUCCGUAGUCAAGAGGGAAACAGCCCAGACCAUCAGCUAAGGUCCCAAAGUAUACGUUAAGUGGAGAAGGAUGUGGAGUUGCUUAGACAACCAGGAUGUUGGCUUAGAAGCAGCCACCAUUGAAAGAGUGCGUAAUAGCUCACUGGUCGAGUGACUCUGCGCCGAAAAUGUACCG